This 329-nucleotide unclassified non-coding RNA is filed under the name soil metagenome. RNAcentral's name for it is "partial contains 5.8S ribosomal RNA, internal transcribed spacer 2, and large subunit ribosomal RNA". The stretch from base 1 to 120 matches the Rfam family "5.8S ribosomal RNA", at positions 35 to 154 of the family's 154-position model. The record is from RNAcentral.
GAUGAAGAACGCAGCGAAACGCGAUAAGUAAUGUGAAUUGCAGAAUUUAGUGAAUCAUCGAACUUUUGAACGCACAUUGCGCCCUCUGGUAUUCCGGGGGGCAUGCCUGUUCGAGCGUCAUUAUAACCACUCAAGCUUUCGCUUGGUAUUGGGGCUCGCGGUUCCGCGGCCCCUAAAAUCAGUGGCGGUGCCUGUCGGCUCUACGCGUAGUAAUACUCCUCGCGAUUGAGUCCGGUAGGUCUACUUGCCAGCAACCCCCAAUUUUUACAGGUUGACCUCGGAUCAGGUAGGGAUACCCGCUGAACUUAAGCAUAUCAAUAAGCGGAGGA